CCAUAGGUUAAUGAGGCGAACCGGGGGAACUGAAACAUCUAAGUACCCCGAGGAAAAGAAAUCAACCGAGAUUCCCCCAGUAGCGGCGAGCGAACGGGGAGGAGCCCAGAGCCUGAAUCAGCAUGUGUGUUAGUGGAAGCGUCUGGAAAGGCGCGCGAUACAGGGUGACAGCCCCGUACACAAAAGCGCAUGUGCUGUGAGCUCGAUGAGUAGGGCGGGACACGUGGUAUCCUGUCUGAAUAUGGGGGGACCAUCCUCCAAGGCUAAAUACUCCUGACUGACCGAUAGUGAACCAGUACCGUGAGGGAAAGGCGAAAAGAACCCCGGCGAGGGGAGUGAAAAAGAACCUGAAACCGUGU
RNAcentral lists this ribosomal RNA (359 nucleotides) under Salmonella enterica. RNAcentral's name for it is "bacterial LSU rRNA". It matches the Rfam family "Bacterial large subunit ribosomal RNA", at positions 164 to 561 of the family's 2925-position model. The record is from RNAcentral. Lineage: Bacteria; Pseudomonadati; Pseudomonadota; Gammaproteobacteria; Enterobacterales; Enterobacteriaceae. RNAcentral also lists the same sequence under 2 other names.